GACGAACGCUGGCGGCGUGCUUAACACAUGCAAGUCGAACGGAAAGGCCCUGCUUGCAGGGUACUCGAGUGGCGAACGGGUGAGUAACACGUGGGUGAUCUGCCCUGCACUUCGGGAUAAGCCUGGGAAACUGGGUCUAAUACCGGAUAGGAGCCAUUUUUAGUGUGAAGGUUGGAAAGUUUUUUCGGUGUAGGAUGAGCUCGCGGCCUAUCAGCUUGUUGGUGGGGUAAUGGCCUACCAAGGCGGCGACGGGUAGCCGGCCUGAGAGGGUGGACGGCCACAUUUGGACUGAGAUACGGCCCAGACUCCUACGGGAGGCAGCAGUGGGGAAUAUUGCACAAUGGGCGCAAGCCUGAUGCAGCGACGCCGCGUGGGGGAUGACGGCCUUCGGGUUGUAAACUCCUUUCGCUAGGGACGAAGCUUUUUGUGACGGUACCUAGAUAAGAAGCACCGGCUAACUACGUG
RNAcentral lists this ribosomal RNA (465 nucleotides) under uncultured bacterium. Its description in RNAcentral is "partial 16S ribosomal RNA". It matches the Rfam family "Bacterial small subunit ribosomal RNA", at positions 28 to 507 of the family's 1533-position model. The record is from RNAcentral.